RNAcentral lists this ribosomal RNA (440 nucleotides) under uncultured bacterium. RNAcentral's name for it is "partial 16S ribosomal RNA". It matches the Rfam family "Bacterial small subunit ribosomal RNA", at positions 338 to 795 of the family's 1533-position model. The record is from RNAcentral.
CCUACGUGCGGCAGCAGUGGGGGAUAUUGCACAAUGGGGGGAACCCUGAUGCAGCGACGCCGCGUGGGUGAAGAAGCGCCUCGGCGCGUAAAGCCCUGUCAGCAGGGAAGAAAAUGACGGUACCUGAAGAAGAAGCCCCGGCUAACUACGUGCCAGCAGCCGCGGUAAUACGUAGGGGGCAAGCGUUAUCCGGAUUUACUGGGUGUAAAGGGUGCGUAGACGGAGAAGCAAGUUAGUUGUGAAAUCCCUCGGCUUAACUGAGGAACUGCAACUAAAACUACUUCCCUUGAGUACUGGAGAGGAAAGUGGAAUUCCUAGUGUAGCGGUGAAAUGCGUAGAUAUUAGGAGGAACACCAGUGGCGAAGGCGACUUUCUGGACAGUAACUGACGUUGAGGCACGAAAGUGUGGGGAGCAAACAGGAUUAGAUACCCUGGUAGUC